This 72-nucleotide transfer RNA is filed under the name Camelus ferus (Wild Bactrian camel). It matches the Rfam family "tRNA". From Rfam's summary of the family: Transfer RNA (tRNA) molecules are approximately 80 nucleotides in length. Their secondary structure includes four short double-helical elements and three loops (D, anti-codon, and T loops). Lineage: Eukaryota; Metazoa; Chordata; Mammalia; Artiodactyla; Camelidae. The record is from Rfam by way of RNAcentral.
GAGGGUAUAGCUCAGUGGUAGAGUACAUGCCUAGCAUGCACUAGGUUUUGGGUUCAAUCCCCAGUAUCUCCA